This 438-nucleotide ribosomal RNA is filed under the name uncultured bacterium. Its description in RNAcentral is "partial 16S ribosomal RNA". It matches the Rfam family "Bacterial small subunit ribosomal RNA", at positions 339 to 795 of the family's 1533-position model. The record is from RNAcentral.
CUACGGGCCGCACCAGUGGGGAAUUUUGCGCAAUGGGGGAAACCCUGACGCAGCAAUACCGCGUGAGUGAAGAAGGCCUUUGGGUCGUAAAGCUCUUUUCUUGGGGAAGAUAGUGACGGUACCCAAGGAAUAAGCACCGGCUAACUCCGUGCCAGCAGCCGCGGUAAUACGGAGGGUGCAAGCGUUGUUCGGAUUUACUGGGCGUAAAGGGCACGUAGGCGGCACAGCAGGUAAGGGUGAAAUCCCGGGGCUCAACGCCGGAACUGCUCUUAAAACUGCUGAGCUAGAGAUAGUCAGAGGCGGGUGGAAUUCCAGGUGUAGAGGUGAAAUUCGUAGAUAUCUGGAGGAACACCGGUGGCGAAGGCGGCCCGCUGGGGCUAUUCUGACGCUAAGGUGCGAAAGCGUGGGGAGCAAACGGGAUUAGAUACCCUCGUAGUC